UUAAUACUCCCUCUGUCCGGAAAUACUUGUCCUAGAAAUGGAUGUAUAUAGACUUAUUUUAGUUAUAGAUACAUCCAAUUUAUCCAUUUUGAGAACAAAUAUUUCUAGACAGAUGGAGUACCUA
This is a non-coding RNA of Triticum aestivum (bread wheat), 124 nucleotides long. Lineage: Eukaryota; Viridiplantae; Streptophyta; Magnoliopsida; Poales; Poaceae. The record is from Rfam.